RNAcentral lists this ribosomal RNA (301 nucleotides) under uncultured bacterium. RNAcentral describes it as "partial 16S ribosomal RNA". It matches the Rfam family "Bacterial small subunit ribosomal RNA", at positions 509 to 807 of the family's 1533-position model. The record is from RNAcentral.
CAGCAGCCACGGUAACACGGAGGGAGCUAGCGUUAUUCGGAAUUGCUGGGCGUAAAGCGCACGUAGGCGGCUUUGUAAGUAAGAGGUGAAAGCCCGGAGCUCAACUCCGGAACUGCCUUUUAGACUGCAUCGCUUGAAUCCAGGAGAGGUGAGUGGAAUUCCGAGUGUAGAGGUGAAAUUCGUAGAUAUUCGGAAGAACACCAGUGGCGAAGGCGGCCCACUGGACGUGUAUUGACGCUGAGGUGCGAAAGCGUGGGGAGCAAACAGGAUUAGAUACCCCAGUAGUACCUGUCUCUUAUAC